Molecule: transfer RNA, 73 nt
Filed under: Bos taurus (domestic cattle)
Lineage: Eukaryota; Metazoa; Chordata; Mammalia; Artiodactyla; Bovidae
Also listed under: 4 other names
Rfam family: tRNA
About the family: Transfer RNA (tRNA) molecules are approximately 80 nucleotides in length. Their secondary structure includes four short double-helical elements and three loops (D, anti-codon, and T loops).
Source: Rfam by way of RNAcentral
UUCCUUGUGGCUGAGUUGGUAAAGAAUCCGCCUGCAAUGCGGGUGACCUGGGUUCGAUCUCUGGGUUGGGAAG